This 395-nucleotide ribosomal RNA is filed under the name Lactiplantibacillus plantarum. RNAcentral describes it as "bacterial SSU rRNA". It matches the Rfam family "Bacterial small subunit ribosomal RNA", at positions 986 to 1378 of the family's 1533-position model. The record is from RNAcentral. Lineage: Bacteria; Bacillati; Bacillota; Bacilli; Lactobacillales; Lactobacillaceae.
GUGGACAUGCAUCUAGAGAUUAGACGUUCCCUUCGGGGACAUGGAUACAGGUGGUGCAUGGUUGUCGUCAGCUCGUGUCGUGAGAUGUUGGGUUAAGUCCCGCAACGAGCGCAACCCUUAUUAUCAGUUGCCAGCAUUAAGUUGGGCACUCUGGUGAGACUGCCGGUGACAAACCGGAGGAAGGUGGGGAUGACGUCAAAUCAUCAUGCCCCUUAUGACCUGGGCUACACACGUGCUACAAUGGAUGGUACAACGAGUUGCGAACUCGCGAGAGUAAGCUAAUCUCUUAAAGCCAUUCUCAGUUCGGAUUGUAGGCUGCAACUCGCCUACAUGAAGUCGGAAUCGCUAGUAAUCGCGGAUCAGCAUGCCGCGGUGAAUACGUUCCCGGGUUGGAA